CCUAACCCCAAUGCCCAGCCCCCUCACCCUCUGAAGAGACACUAAAGCACAUUUACUCUCUCUCUCACUCUGGCUCUCAGUGCCUAUGUCCAGACUGCUGCUUCAGACCUCACCGCCCCUUUCCAUUCAAACCAACUUUAAGCCAGACUUCUGAGUGUGUGAGCCAGCAUUUCAUCAACAGUCUGCUGUGCACUUUCAGGAGCCUCUUAAUUUGUUAAAGUUUCAGCUGGAGAAAAGUGACCAACAGUGACCAUGAUGAGGAUCAUACUACUGCUUCUGGUCACCCUGACGGGGCCUUUCUGUACCUUUACCCAAGCAAGUAAGUAAACACACAUACAGGGUGCUCUGCUUUCUUUCAAACACGCAGGGCAUUCUGUCCAUCUGUUUCUGACCAUAUCCUUCAUUCAUUCAGUUCAUUUUUGUUUGAUUACGUUCACUAAAUGAUGCUUUCUCUUCUGAGGUGUGUUUUGGCUUUAAAUUUUAGUAUGUAAAGGGAAAAGGUGUGUUAUAAUGUUUAAUUGUUUAAAUGAUUUUAUUAGAUUUUUUAUUUCUUUACUUAGAUCAUUAAUACAAUUAUUGUAGUAUUUUAGUGAUCAGCUACAAUAUAUAUACACUGUUUUCAAUGCAAGUAAAUGAACGUUAAAUUUUGAAGUAGAAAGAUUUUUUAUUUACUUUGAAAAAUUAUUUUUACAGUACAUACAUCUAUAGAUGUUUCAUUGCCUUCUGUUCAUGAUAAACAUUAUCCACACAUCUAGACAUGUGCUGAUACAGUGUUUCUCUCAUGUGGACCCAGUGCUGGGAAAAUGAUGUAAUGGUGCAAUGAGUGUAAUUCCGGUUUUGAGUAAGUCAGCACUGAUCAAUUUCUCUGUUUCUUUCACUCUGGGCAGGGUUACACAUGUAUUAAUACUAGCACCAACUCUAUAUUUAAGGGAAACAUUUGCACAUUUAGUCCACAUGGGCUGGUUACAUCUGAGGGCAGAGGUGGCCUAAGAGAGAGAAAGAGAGAAAGAGAGCUCUUUCUCUCCCUCUCCUCACCCCCCGUCGCUUGUAACCAUCUUUGGCAGGGUAUCAAGAUUUCAACCCUCUCAGAGGUGGGUUGGAGGGGCAUGUGCGUUAUUUUUAAACUGCAGUGCCUCUGACUCACUGCUCAGGGUUGGUUACAGCCCUCUAAACAUCCCAUUAAAAUGCUCAGCAAGUUUCAAACUUGGAAAACUUCACUCCCUGCAAUCAGAGGAGAGCAUCAACACACACUCUUCCUCUCCAGACUUCCUUCUGUCUGUCUUUCUCAUUCUUUCUCCUGCUGCCAUUUGUCUCCCUUUCUUCCCGUUCCCCCGGUGGUGCCACUCCCUGUUCUAAAAGCGGGCUUCAUCAGAUAGUUAAACGUUUAUACUCUGUACUCUUUUUUUUUUAGUAUGCAGCAUUGUUUAUACAAUUAUUUUGGAGACAUAGAUUAAUGUUUGUGUUUUUUUGUGAACUUUUUACCUUUUCAGAUCUCUAAGUCAGCCUGUUAUGUGUUGUGUGUGUUAUGAAUAGAGUAAUGGUAAACUGACACGUGAGAGCACAUCGAGGUAUUGGGUGUACUGACCGUUAAUUUAGCUACAUGAACCCUGAAACUCACACAGGGUCUCUGACUGCUAUACCACAAACUCAGCCCAACUUAUUUACAGAGCCCAAACAACUUCAUAUUCAACUUAAGAGUGCAAACAGAUUUUUGAUAAAUCUGAAUUUAUUUGUUCUGCUUAAUCUUUAGCUCAAAAUGAAAUGAAAUCCAGUCCUCGUUCUGAAUCAAAUCAACUCCUUAAAGUGCUGUCUGAUAGAGAUUAACCUGAACUGACUUUAUUGUGUUAUAUUUGAAUUAAUUCCAUACAACACAAUGUAAAUUAUCUUCAUAAUCUAAAUUCACUCUUUAACAAUGUUGUUAUUGAUAACUUAAAAUCAUCCUUGUUAAAGGAGCAGAUUUCUGAGAAACACUGUUUUGAUUUCUCUGCCUCCAAAUUUAUGCAACACAGACACCUCCCCCAUCACCACUGUACACGUCCCUUACUGGUGAUUGGCUACAAGUGUGUUUUGGUGCUCGGUCCAAUCCACUUUCAAUCCACUUUAUUUUUCAACAUGGAAAUAAGCCGUUCUCUGUGAAUGUGUGAGACUUCUGGUUCAUUAGCUGCUGUAGGGAAAUAACGAGAAGAAUAAAAAAGAGCAGACAAAUGGUAAAACUCUUCGCACUACAAACCAGUUUGUUCAUAAUUAAAAUAAUACAUUAAAAUAAUAUGCUAAGACACAUCAGUUUAUCAUAUCAAGCAGCAAAACUAGCUUUUUUGUACAGCUACAAAUAGCUGGAAGCGAAUGACAAUGAAAGCCAGGCGUUGAAGUACUAAAAUUACUAAAACUUAAAAAUAAAAACUAAUAAAAAUGAAAAAGCACAUAAUUAAUUUGGAGCUUUAACUAAAAUUAAAACGGAAAAUAUAAAAACAAAACUCUUUAGAAAUUUCAAUCAACAGCUUAGUGUUAAAUAUAAAUGAACUUCACAAAUGUUCUUGAGAGAUUGGUGGGGAACUGUAGAGCUCAAUUAGAUAUCUAUCCAGUUUUGUCUCCCUCAGGUCUGGACUCCUAUGUGUUGUAUUUACAUUUACAUUUAGUCAUUUAGCAUGCAGGAGCUUUUAUCCAAAGAAACUUACAAAUGAGGACAAUGGAAGCAAUCAAAAUCAACAAAAGAGCAAUGACACACAAGUGCUAUAACAAGUCUAAAUUAGCUUAAUGCAUGUAGCAAGUUUUUUUUAUUAUAUAAUAAAUGAAAAAAAAAACAGAAUACAAAAAGAUUAGAAAGGCUAGUGUUAGUUUUUUUUUUAAAGAAUAGAAUUAGAAUAGAGAGUGCUAGAGUUAGAGGGUCUAAAGUGUAAAAAUUGAUAAAUGUCACCACAUAAAGAAAAGGUUUUUAUUUUUUUAUGUUAUUUCUAAACAUUAUUAUAAUUAUUAUUGAAGUAUAAUUAUUAUUUUUAUGAUAAAUCUUCAUAUUUUUAGAUUGAAAAAAAAACAAUCUAUAUGUAUCAGUCAUUUGAAAAGUGGCAAAAAUAAAUUGAACAUAUGAUUUAAAAAAAGGUUCCAGUUUUAAUGAUCUGUUUUAAAUCUUAGUUUUAAUUUUAAUUUACUAAUUUAAACUAAACGUACUUAGAUUAGGAUGUGUGUUAGUCUGAGAUAUGUUGUUCCCUGGAGAUUGUGAGCUUGAGAGCCUAAGUAUGUGAAUGUGUGUUGUUGAUAAGAGUGAAUUUUCACUUGCUAUGUCCUCUACUGCCCUUUCAUGACAUGCCACGUGACGUGUGUGUGUGUGUGUGUGUGUGUGUGUGUGUGUGAAGGAGGGAAUUUGCCUUUGAGAUGUUCUUCACUUGUUCUUCCUGAACUAAAACAUUCCAGCAUCAUACUCCCUCAUGAGAUGCACACACACCACACACACACAUGCUGAAGCAGUAGAUUGAGAUUAAUCUGAUAGACUGAGAGUAAUUAGUUAGGGUAAAGGAAGAUCAGUCUUUCCUGUCUGUAACCCGGCAAAACAAUUCUGCCUCCCUGUUUAACAGACACCCUACACUGGCCUCUUGUGCUCUAUUUCCCUUGUUCUCUGCUCUUUCCCUCUAUAUUUAUCUCUCCUUUUCCUUGUCUUUCCCUUUUAUGGUUUCAGUUUUGUCAGGAAAAUGUUCUUGGUCAUAGAUUUGAAUUUGAUCAUCUAAUGGGUGGAUUAACUCAUUGCAAUCUGUACUAGGCCAAUGGUUUCUCAAUCAAGGCAUUUAGUGGUCUAAUAUCUAAUAUCAAUAUUUGGAGAAUGAAUGAAAUCCACCUUAUUUUUCAUUGCUGUAGUAGGGUAUUUCCUAUGAAUGUGUGGGACUUAUGAUUAUGAUUAACUGGUCACUACUGUCACGUUUCUUGUAUCACACCUUAGACUCGCUCUCACUUUCAUAUAAACACAAUUGGUGCCAUCUUAUGUAUCAGUUGUCGAAUGUCAUGAAAAUUAUCUCUACUGUAUUAAUAUUACUGUAUUAUUGAUUCAGUGUUUGUCAGUUAACAUAAUGAGUGGCCAUUACAAGCCGUUGUUCCCCAAUAAUGAGGGAAUGACUGUACAUUAUGCUGUACAUAACUUACAGUUACAAUCGCUGGCCAUGCAGCUUAACAGCUGGCUCUUUCUCCAUACUCCGCUCCUUCCAUCACAUCGUGUGUAUUUAUGUGAGUGUGUGGUAGUGGUUGGAGGGAAAGAGAGCCAUACUUAGAACUAAUUGUUGGGGUCUCAAACAUAAUGAGCUGAUUGUUAGCAGCAGUCAACAAGAACAUUAAUAUAAACACACAAACUGACACUUACACACAUACACACAGGACAUUGUGAUCUCUGACCACACCCCACACUUACAUAUGUUUCUUAACAGGACUGUUUUGUUUGAUUGUGGCACUAUGGAAAGUAACAGUGACAGAUUUUUCUGUCCGUCUUUUUUUCUUUCUUUUUUUUUUUUGAUGCCCACUUAUAAUUAAAUAAUUUUCUCCUCUCACGUAAAAGUUCUUAACUUGUUUUGAUGUUUUAUUUUGGGAGUCCAGUUAAUUAGGUUAUAUAAAUAUGGAUUUAAAAUAACAAACUGUGUGGAAACCUAUUAUUAAAGGGAUAGUUCAUCCAAAAAUGAACAUUCUGUCAUUUACUCACCUCAUGUCACUUCAAAUUUGUAUAACUCUCUGUUCUGUGGAUUACAUAAGGACAAAUUUUACUGGUUGUUCUUUCGAUGCAGUUACAAUGAAGGAGAAACUUCAAAAAGAACUCAAAAGUACCAUAAACAUAUCAUAAAAAUACAUAUACACACAAAAAAAUUGGUGUAGAAGCCAUAGUGCUGUAAUUUUCAGAAACAAUUAUAUUAAACAUAUAUAUUAAAAUGUGUCAUGUUUUUUCAUUAUAGAAAUUUCCUUUUAGGGUUCUACAGAAGAAAGACAGUCAUAUGGGAAACUGCUCGCCCUCAUGAGUACAUAAUGACACAUUUUCUUUGGGGGAAGAACUCUUUUAAUUCCAAACUGCUGAGAGUGUGUGGGUCACAUAAUCAUCAGUAAAAUACAAAAUGUGCUUCAUAAAACUAUUACUAAAGAACCGAAACAGUAAUUUGCUUUUCACCCAGAGCUGAUGUGCAAUGCAUGCUGAGUUUGAUAUUUUAAAGUGUGUAGUUCAGCAGUUGAGGUGGUGUUAUUGUAAAGGGAGUUUCCCCUCAGAUCGCCAAGAGAAAGUCUCUCAUGUGGAGUGCAUCUGGAUUAGACACAAGCACAGAUCUGAGAUCAGUUUUUGCAGUGUCUCUAAUGGUUGCUGAGGUCAUUGUGAGUGAUGCAGAAAUAUCUAAGAUCAGCCCCCGAGGAAACAUGCCAUUUUUGCCAUGUUUUUUUUUUCCUUUUUUUUUUCCUUUCAUUUUUUUUCAAUGCUUCAUCUCCUUCUGUGCAGUUAUUGCCAGCUCCACCCAGGAAGUGAGACAAUUAGUCUGGCAUUCUGGCUGAAGGUAUGAUGUAGAAAGGAAGUGAUCUCAUUAGUGUGGAGCUGAAUAGUCAGGGCAUGACUUUUCCCUAUUGGGGGAGUGGCAGAAUGUUUAUACGUUACGUAAAUGUCUAAGUGAAUGUGUACGUGUGUGUUUACUGGGCUAAUUAAGAAGGCCGGAAUGUUCUUGCUAUUAAUGGCAGGCCAUGAGAAAAUUCUAGCUUACCCCUCCAAUACAACCACAGGAGAACUAAAACAGACAGCAAACAGCGUCAGUAGGAUUUUUCCAUUUUCAUCCAACUCUAUCCUCUUAUGUUGUAAUGAACAUCUAAGGGUUUCUAUUAGAAGAUUUUUAUGAACCUUUUUGUUGUUCUUGUACUAGGUACUCUGGUGGUGCCAACAGCUAUUGGUUCAACUCCACAACCAAAUCUUGCAUCAGAUUCACCUACUUUCACAUACACAACAGAGGUAACAUCUCCUCAAGAUGCUGUUUCAACGUCAGAGCCUGCUCCUGAGGUUACAGAAGCAGCUGCCACGACAGAAGAAGUGCCAAUGGUUUCCACAACAGCACCAGUGAUACAGUCAGAAGCCCCAUUCGAAACAACAGCCCUAACAGAUACAACACAAUCAACAGAAGCUGUACCUAUAGAGACAACCAGCCCUGAAGCCACUACUGUCUUUGCAGAAGCAGAAAUGCCUGAGAAAGUUGAAGACAUAGAAUCAAAGACUGCAGAUGAAGAGGUGGAGGAUGAAGGUAUGGGCACAGGACAGUUGGUGGGGAUCGUAAUCGGUGCAUUGAUCACAGUGAUUGUUGUCAUUGCUGUAAUCAUCUUGUUGGUCAGAAGAAUGGGCCAAUACUCCCCCUGAAAAGAAAGGCACGACAGGAAGAGAAAAAGAAGAAAUCCGGGAAGUUCUGAACUAUUGUUCUGAUGUUAAAAACAAUCCAAGCAGCACUCUCACCAUCCAUCCAGGACUGUACGGGGAGCAGGAGAGUGUCCCAUCCCCUUUCCCAUUGAAAAAGAUGCCCUCCCACAAAAACACCUUCCCAGUGCCCACAAGUUAUUUUAUUUAGCCUGAAAAACCUUAUUUAUCCCAAUAGUGGGAGGCCACAGGAAGUUACAGUAUCUUUUUUUAAUGCAUAUUAAUGUAACAGGAGAUUAAUGAAUGUUCAAUUUGUAAAGGGCCUAAUAAACAAAAACAAACAAACAGCUGCCCAUGCAAGCAAAAGCUUGUAUGUUUUUAUAUCAUACAGAAAAAAAAACUAAUCCAAAAUCAUUAUUCUUUUCCCAUUCUACAGAUGUGUCCAUUUGGACUAUGACGCAUUAUGAACAGUCUUUGAACUGUCAUAAGCAGAUGCUGAGGACACAUUCUGUUCUCAAGAUGUGUAACCGGCUUUAACUAAUAAAUAUUUUUUAAAUUAUUAGUUAAGGGGAGCAGCACACAAUAAGUGCUUGAGAUUUACUCAUUUGAAAGUGCACUAGUACAGAGUGACUUGACUGUGUUGUUCUUAACUGUCACCCAUUCCAAAAGUGACAUCAUUUCCUCUGGAACGCAUCAUUUAUUGUGUGUUCCAAUCCGCUUAGCUCCAGCGCACAGCUGCUAUUGGCAUGUAUCUCUAAAAUCCUGAUGUUCCUCAGCCUGGACUACAUCAUUUUAACAGCAUACUACAGACAUUUUGCAUGGUAUAGUUGAGUUGUUUGCAUUUCUUUUUGUCAGUGUUGAGGUUUGUGUUUCUUUCUGAUGUUCGAGAGCAUUGCUAUCCUGGGCUUUGCUUUAAGAGAUCAGUAUUAGGUGCACUGAAUGAUGAAGAAUAAAUGUUUAGUAUUGACAAGACACUGCAGUUGUUUGCAACGAUAUUUUGUGUUUCUUGCUUGCCAGAUUCCUCUUUAUUUCUCGUUACUCCAUGAUCUCAUUUUGCCAUUUGAUGUCAGAAUCCAGUUAAAGCCAAGAGUUUGACUUUGUGUUUUGGGGUUUUGUUUUACUUAUUGUUCAAUCAAUUUCAAUAAAAAAGUUCCAAAGUAUGUUACGCUGCCAUAUUGUGUUGUUGUGGAUCCCAGAUAACAUUGUCUGUUUAUCUGUGUUUACUUUUCAGCCCCUUUUACUCAGCAUUCCAGCUUUACACACACAUUUACGCCCAUGCACUGUCUCUUUCUCACACAAACACACACCCACACAUUCCCUUUCUCUGUCUCUCUAAUCCAAUAGGUUAUAAAGACUGUAAAAGACAAGGGAGAUAGAGGAAGAGAUAUGCAGAGUCAAUGAAUAAAGGCAUCUUUGUAAAUAUGACUAUGCACUUAAGUGCCCUCUCUGGUUAAGUAACGUAAAUAGCAUGAGAGUCCCAAACAGCUGGCCCCAAAACGUAUUUGGACAUUGACUUUCAUUUGGAAAUGGACCAUAACAGUUUCUUUUUUCCAUUCAUUUUUCAAGUAUCUGUACUUUAUCAGAUUCUUUUUUUAUUUUAUUUUUGGCCUUCUCAUUACUUUUCCAUUUUAGAUUCCAAAGAUGUCUAACGUUUUACUUCACUAAUAAUGCACACGUUUUAUUAAAGUCAGCAUGAAAAUGAAAAUUCACCAAAUCUAAUUUGUAAACGGACUUUGUUAUUGAUCUUUUCCAUAUUGAUCUAUUUAAUUGUGUUUUUGACCUUGUAAUGUUUAAUUAAAAUGGCAUAUCUCAAUCUUCCUGUGAAAAUGGCCAAUUGGAACAUGUUGAUAUUUAAUAUGUUGUAGUAAAUUGUAGUUUGCUUAUUUUGGUCUUGAGAUAGUCCUUCAUUACUGAUCAUUUAUAAAUCUAAAUUAUAUAAUUUUUAACAAAUAUCUCAUUCUCUCCUUAUUAAUCAGAAAGCCCUCUAACCAAAUUAUGACAGUAACUUCUGCGUGUGUGUUUAAGUGGGUGAGCAUAAAUGUAUGAGGCUGAAUGUGGUUUUAGGCAGUAGCCCAGCUACUCUCUCUCUUUAGCUAUGAACAAUGGACUCUUUUAGUGGGAGACUCACUCUGACGUCCUGCUCACAGUCUGAUCUCUAUAACCGUUUGUUUGUGAUCCAAUGAUUUCUACAUUCCUAAUGAGAAGGGCACUUCCUGACAAGUAAAAGCCUUCAUGUACACUAACAUGAACAUUAGGAAAGACCUAGAAGCGCCAAAACACACAAAACAAUGUUUGCAUAUACACACACACACAAUGAAAUUCAAAUAUACACACAAUUUUGCAAAAUGUAAAAAUAAAAUCUCAAUGACAUAACAGGACUGUAAGCAGCUUAGGUAAAAUAAAUGCCUGCAGAAAAUAAUGAAAACAGACCGUCUGGAAAUCCUAGUCUUGCUAACACAAACACACACAUAAACAUGUAUGCUAAACUUAAAAAUGACCUAAAGUGAACCAUAUCAUAUGUGUAUCAGAGAAGAAUGUGAGUGUUUAAGGGAGGACAGCUAAUACAGCAACCUCAUGUUUACUUCAGAGCCUGGAUACACACGUAUAUGCAGCUUCAGGUCACUCCCCAGGUCUUGAGAAACACUCACUCUCAGUGCCAUCCACUCACUUUGGUUUAUUUGUAGGGAGUACAGUACCAGUGAGAAACUCGACUCAUCUCUAUAGCUUCACAAAUUCACAUUCUGCUGUAAAGCAGCUCUAACAAGUCAAUAGUGUCAUUCUACAGUUCAAGUCGGUUAAGUAUUUUAACUGUAAAAGUCAUCAGUUACUGUAUAUACAGUGUAAAUGUGCAUAUGCAUGUACAGUAUGUGCAAGAGCCACUGCACUCUGAACAAGCAAAAGACAC
Long non-coding RNA from Cyprinus carpio carpio, 9245 nucleotides. The record is from Ensembl. NCBI's taxonomy places the organism in Eukaryota, Metazoa, Chordata, Actinopteri, Cypriniformes, Cyprinidae.